Molecule: ribosomal RNA, 419 nt
Filed under: uncultured bacterium
Lineage: Bacteria
Description: bacterial SSU rRNA
Rfam family: Bacterial small subunit ribosomal RNA
Source: RNAcentral
GGAAUAUUGGGCAAUGCCCGCAAGGGUGACCCAGCAACGCCGCGUGGAGGAUGAAUGUCGUAAGAUUGUAAACUCCUGUUAGAGGGGAAGAAUAGUACCGGUUGGACCGGUAUAUGACUGUACCCUCAGAGAAAGCACCGGCUAACUACGUGCCAGCAGCCGCGGUAAUACGUAGGGGGCAAGCGUUGUCCGGAUUUACUGGGUGUAAAGGGCGCGCAGGCGGGAUAAAAAGUCAGUGGUGAAAUCCUACAGCUUAACUGUAGAACUGCCUUUGAUACUUUUAUUCUUGAGUUCGGGAGAGAGAGACGGAAUUCCAGGUGUAGUGGUGAAAUACGUAGAUAUCUGGAAGAACACCAGUUGCGAAGGCGGUCUCUUGGUCCGACACUGACGCUGAGGCGCGAAAGCGUGGGGAGCAAACA